UGUUUCGGCAAGGGGGUCAUCCCGACUUACCAACCCGAUGCAAACUGCGAAUACCGGAGAAUGUUAUCACGGGAGACACACGGCGGGUGCUAACGUCCGUCGUGAAGAGGGAAACAACCCAGACCGCCAGCUAAGGUCCCAAAGUCAUGGUUAAGUGGGAAACGAUGUGGGAAGGCCCAGACAGCCAGGAUGUUGGCUUAGAAGCAGCCAUCAUUUAAAGAAAGCGUAAUAGCUCACUGGUCGAGUCGGCCUGCGCGGAAGAUGUAACGGGGCUAAACCAUGCACCGAAGCUGCGGCAGCGACGCUGAUGCGUUGUUGGGUAGGGGAGCGUUCUGUAAGCCUGUGAAGGUGUGCUGUGAGGCAUGCUGGAGGUAUCAGAAGUGCGAAUGCUGACAUAAGUAACGAUAAAGCGGGUGAAAAGCCCGCUCGCCGGAAGACCAAGGGUUCCUGUCCAACGUUAAUCGGGGCAGGGUGAGUCGACCCCUAAGGCGAGGCCGAAAGGCGUAGUCGAUGGGAAACAGGUUAAUAUUCCUGUACUUGGUGUUACUGCGAAGGGGGGACGGAGAAGGCUAUGUUGGCCGGGCGACGGUUGUCCCGGUUUAAGCGUGUAGGCUGGUUUUCCAGGCAAAUCCGGAAAAUCAAGGCUGAGGCGUGAUGACGAAGCACUACGGUGCUGAAGCAACAAAUGCCCUGCUUCCAGGAAAAGCCUCUAAGCAUCAGGUAACAUCAAAUCGUACCCCAAACCGACACAGGUGGUCAGGUAGAGAAUACCAAGGCGCUUGAGAGAACUCGGGUGAAGGAACUAGGCAAAAUGGUGCCGUAACUUCGGGAGAAGGCACGCUGAUAUGUAGGUGAAGUCCCUUGCGGAUGGAGCUGAAAUCAGUCGAAGAUACCAGCUGGCUGCAACUGUUUAUUAAAAACACAGCACUGUGCAAACACGAAAGUGGACGUAUACGGUGUGACGCCUGCCCGGUGCCGGAAGGUUAAUUGAUGGGGUCAGCGCAAGCGAAGCUCUUGAUCGAAGCCCCGGUAAACGGCGGCCGUAACUAUAACGGUCCUAAGGUAGCGAAAUUCCUUGUCGGGUAAGUUCCGACCUGCACGAAUGGCGUAAUGAUGGCCAGGCUGUCUCCACCCGAGACUCAGUGAAAUUGAACUCGCUGUGAAGAUGCAGUGUACCCGCGGCAAGACGGAAAGACCCCGUGAACCUUUACUAUAGCUUGACACUGAACAUUGAGCCUUGAUGUGUAGGAUAGGUGGGAGGCUUAGAAGUGUGGACGCCAGUCUGCAUGGAGCCGACCUUGAAAUACCACCCUUUAAUGUUUGAUGUUCUAACGUUGACCCGUAAUCCGGGUUGCGGACAGUGUCUGGUGGGUAGUUUGACUGGGGCGGUCUCCUCCUAAAGAGUAACGGAGGAGCACGAAGGUUGGCUAAUCCUGGUCGGACAUCAGGAGGUUAGUGCAAUGGCAUAAGCCAGCUUGACUGCGAGCGUGACGGCGCGAGCAGGUGCGAAAGCAGGUCAUAGUGAUCCGGUGGUUCUGAAUGGAAGGGCCAUCGCUCAACGGAUAAAAGGUACUCCGGGGAUAACAGGCUGAUACCGCCCAAGAGUUCAUAUCGACGGCGGUGUUUGGCACCUCGAUGUCGGCUCAUCACAUCCUGGGGCUGAAGUAGGUCCCAAGGGUAUGGCUGUUCGCCAUUUAAAGUGGUACGCGAGCUGGGUUUAGAACGUCGUGAGACAGUUCGGUCCCUAUCUGCCGUGGGCGCUGGAGAACUGAGGGGGGCUGCUCCUAGUACGAGAGGACCGGAGUGGACGCAUCACUGGUGUUCGGGUUGUCAUGCCAAUGGCACUGCCCGGUAGCUAAAUGCGGAAGAGAUAAGUGCUGAAAGCAUCUAAGCACGAAACUUGCCCCGAGAUGAGUUCUCCCUGACUCCUUGAGAGUCCUGAAGGAACGUUGAAGACGACGACGUUGAUAGGCCGGGUGUGUAAGCGCAGCGAUGCGUUGAGCUAACCGGUACUAAUGAACCGUGAGG
This 2028-nucleotide ribosomal RNA is filed under the name Escherichia coli. RNAcentral's name for it is "partial 23S ribosomal RNA". It matches the Rfam family "Bacterial large subunit ribosomal RNA", at positions 911 to 2915 of the family's 2925-position model. Lineage: Bacteria; Pseudomonadati; Pseudomonadota; Gammaproteobacteria; Enterobacterales; Enterobacteriaceae. The record is from RNAcentral.